CGCCCCUUAGCUCAGCUGGAUAGAGCACCUGCCUUCUAAGCAGGUUGUCGCAGGUUCGAGUCCUGCAGGGGUCGCCA
RNAcentral lists this transfer RNA (77 nucleotides) under Sinorhizobium meliloti CCBAU 01290. Its description in RNAcentral is "tRNA-Arg". It matches the Rfam family "tRNA". From Rfam's summary of the family: Transfer RNA (tRNA) molecules are approximately 80 nucleotides in length. Their secondary structure includes four short double-helical elements and three loops (D, anti-codon, and T loops). The record is from RNAcentral. Lineage: Bacteria; Pseudomonadati; Pseudomonadota; Alphaproteobacteria; Hyphomicrobiales; Rhizobiaceae.